CCUACGGGUGGCAGCAGUGAGGAAUAUUGGUCAAUGGGCGGAAGCCUGAACCAGCCAAGUAGCGUGCAGGAUGACGGCCCUACGGGUUGUAAACUGCUUUUAUACGGGAAUAACGCGCCUUACGUGUAGGUCUUUUCAUGUAUCGUAUGAAUAAGGACCGGCUAAUUUCGUGCCCGCGGCCGCGGGAUUAUGGAGGGUCCGGGCGUUAUCCGGAUGUUUUGGGUUUAAGGGGAGCUUAGGCCGCAUGUCAAGCGUGCUGUGAAAUGUCCGGGCUCAACCCGGGCCUUGCAGCGGAAACUGGCGGGCUUGAGUCCGCAGAGAGCAGGCGGAAUUCGUGGUGUAGCGGUGAAAUGCUUAGAUAUGACGAAGAACCCCGAUUGCGAAGGCAGGUUGCUGCAGCGGAACUGACGCUGAUGCUCGAAAGCGCGGGUAUCGAACAGGAUUAGAUACCCCAGUAGUC
Molecule: ribosomal RNA, 460 nt
Filed under: uncultured bacterium
Lineage: Bacteria
Description: partial 16S ribosomal RNA
Rfam family: Bacterial small subunit ribosomal RNA
Source: RNAcentral